RNAcentral lists this long non-coding RNA (278 nucleotides) under Lathyrus oleraceus (garden pea). RNAcentral describes it as "Pisum sativum (pea) long non-coding RNA (PSAT_LNC006529)". The record is from RNAcentral. Lineage: Eukaryota; Viridiplantae; Streptophyta; Magnoliopsida; Fabales; Fabaceae.
UUGAUUAUAUUUUUGUGUUUGACAAGACCUUCGGACUUGUGCCAACGUACCAACAUAAAAAUGAGGGAUUAAAACCUCGUAGUUUGUGGUAACAAUUUCAAAAUGAGUGGGUUGCUUUAAAUCAGAAUUUAAAUUAAAGAGGCACUAAGUGCCUAAAAAAGUUUGAGUGAGUGUUAGUUCUUUUUGUCUUUGAAAAUUUUAAGUCAAUAUGAUUAGAUUCAUUUACAUGUUUGUGUGAGAAAAGAGUUUUAAAAUGCAAUGGCAUAAGGCCAAAGUUU